Molecule: long non-coding RNA, 194 nt
Organism: Mauremys reevesii (Reeves's turtle)
Lineage: Eukaryota; Metazoa; Chordata; Testudines; Geoemydidae
Exons: 3
Source: RefSeq, a predicted model, not a curated record
GCUGCCAGUCACCGGUGCUCCCGGCAGUGCGAACUUCCUAAUGACCUGCAGGGUUACAGACCAUCUGUGCUCAGGACACUCAUUGGCCAGCACUGUCCUUAGCAAAACCCAGUCUCCAAGGAGUCAAGCAAACUAAAGAUAACGAACAAAAAAAGAGAACAGAAGGGCAAACUCUCGGAGGUCCUGAAUUACAG